GUCGUACGCUUCUUUUUCCACCGGAGCUUGCUCCACCGGAAAAAGAGGAGUGGCGAACGGGUGAGUAACACGUGGGUAACCUGCCCAUCAGAAGGGGAUAACACUUGGAAACAGGUGCUAAUACCGUAUAACAAUCAAAACCGCAUGGUUUUGAUUUGAAAGGCGCUUUCGGGUGUCGCUGAUGGAUGGACCCGCGGUGCAUUAGCUAGUUGGUGAGGUAACGGCUCACCAAGGCCACGAUGCAUAGCCGACCUGAGAGGGUGAUCGGCCACAUUGGGACUGAGACACGGCCCAAACUCCUACGGGAGGCAGCAGUAGGGAAUCUUCGGCAAUGGACGAAAGUCUGACCGAGCAACGCCGCGUGAGUGAAGAAGGUUUUCGGAUCGUAAAACUCUGUUGUUAGAGAAGAACAAGGAUGAGAGUAACUGUUCAUCCCUUGACGGUAUCUAACCAGAAAGCCACGGCUAACUACGUGCCAGCAGCCGCGGUAAUACGUAGGUGGCAAGCGUUGUCCGGAUUUAUUGGGCGUAAAGCGAGCGCAGGCGGUUUCUUAAGUCUGAUGUGAAAGCCCCCGGCUCAACCGGGGAGGGUCAUUGGAAACUGGGAGACUUGAGUGCAGAAGAGGAGAGUGGAAUUCCAUGUGUAGCGGUGAAAUGCGUAGAUAUAUGGAGGAACACCAGUGGCGAA
RNAcentral lists this ribosomal RNA (687 nucleotides) under uncultured bacterium. RNAcentral describes it as "bacterial SSU rRNA". It matches the Rfam family "Bacterial small subunit ribosomal RNA", at positions 61 to 719 of the family's 1533-position model. The record is from RNAcentral.